AGAGUUUGAUCCUGGCUCAGGAUGAACGCUAGCGGCAGGCUUAACACAUGCAAGUCGAGGGGCAGCAUGUCCAGCAAUGGAUGAUGGCGACCGGCGGAAGGGUGCGUAACGCGUGAGCAACAUGCCCUAUACAGGGAGAUACACCAGGGAAACUUGGUCUAAUAUCCCAUAGCAUUCAUUGAAGGCAUCUUUAAUGAAUUAAAGCUUCGGUGGUAUAGGAUUGGCUCGCGUGACAUUAGCCAGAUGGUGAGGUAACGGCUCACCAUAGCAAUGAUGUCUAGGGGUUUUGAGAGGAAGGCCCCCCACACUGGGACUGAGACACGGCCCAGACUCCUACGGGAGGCAGCAGUGAGGAAUAUUGGACAAUGGAUGGAAAUCUGAUCCAGCCAUGCCGCGUGCAGGAAGACGGCCUUAUGGGUUGUAAACUGCUUUUAUACGGGAGCAAUAAGGGUUACGAGUAAUCCGAUGAGAGUACUGUAUGAAUAAGGAUCGGCUAACUCCGUGCCAGCAGCCGCGGUAAUACGGAGGAUCCGAGCGUUAUCCGGAAUUAUUGGGUUUAAAGGGUGCGUAGGCGGCCAUUUAAGUCAGCGGUGAAAUUUUGCAGCUUAACUGUAACAGUGCCGUUGAUACUGUUUGGCUAGGAUUUGGUUGUAGUGUGCGGAAUGUGUGGUGUAGCGGUGAAAUGCUUAGAUAUCACACAGAACACCGAUUGCGAAGGCAGCACACUAAGUCAUUAUUGACGCUGAGGCACGAAAGUGUGGGUAUCAAACAGGAUUAGAUACCCUGGUAGUCCACGCUGUAAACGAUGAUUACUGGUUGUUUGCGAUACACUGCAAGUGACUGAGCGAAAGCAUUAAGUAAUCCACCUGGGGAGUACGUCGGCAACGAUGAAACUCAAAGGAAUUGACGGGGGCCCGCACAAGCGGAGGAACAUGUGGUUUAAUUCGAUGAUACGCGAGGAACCUUACCUGGGUUUAAAUGGGGAGCGACAGGCUUGGAAACAGGCCCUUCUUCGGACACUCUUCAAGGUGCUGCAUGGUUGUCGUCAGCUCGUGCCGUGAGGUGUCGGGUUAAGUCCCAUAACGAGCGCAACCCCUAUCGAUAGUUACCAGCACGUUACGGUGGGGACUCUAUCGAGACUGCCGGUGUAAACCGUGAGGAGGGUGGGGAUGACGUCAAAUCAGCACGGCCCUUACAUCCAGGGCUACACACGUGUUACAAUGGCCGGUACAAAGGGCAGCUACACAGCGAUGUGAUGCUAAUCUCCAAAUCCGGUCUCAGUUCGGAUCGAAGUCUGCAACCCGACUUCGUGAAGCUGGAUUCGCUAGUAAUCGCGCAUCAGCCAUGGCGCGGUGAAUACGUUCCCGGGCCUUGUACACACCGCCC
Molecule: ribosomal RNA, 1386 nt
Filed under: uncultured bacterium
Lineage: Bacteria
Description: bacterial SSU rRNA
Rfam family: Bacterial small subunit ribosomal RNA
Source: RNAcentral